UACGGGGGGAGCAAACGUUGUUCGGAAUCACUGGGCGUAAAGGGCGUGUAGGCGGCUGGAUAAGUGGGAUGUUAAAUCCCCCGGCUCAACCGGGGACCUGCAUCUCAUACUGUUCAGCUCGAGCACAUCAGAGGAGACUGGAAUUCCCGGUGUAGCGGUGAAAUGCGCAGAUAUCGGGAGGAACACCAAUUGCGAAGGCAGCUCGCUGGGACGUUACUGACGCUGAGACGCGAAAGCGUGGGGAGCAAACAGG
This 253-nucleotide ribosomal RNA is filed under the name uncultured bacterium. Its description in RNAcentral is "partial 16S ribosomal RNA". It matches the Rfam family "Bacterial small subunit ribosomal RNA", at positions 524 to 776 of the family's 1533-position model. The record is from RNAcentral.